UACGAAGGGGGCAAGCGUUGUCCGGAAUCAUUGGGCGUAAAGCGCGCGUAGGCGGCCCGGUAAGUCCGCUCUGAAAGUCCAGGGCUUAACCCUGGAAAGCGGGUGGAUACUGCCGGGCUUGAAUCCGGAAGAGGCGAGUGGAAUUCCUGGUGUAGCGGUGGAAUGCGCAGAUAUCAGGAGGAACACCAAUAGCGAAGGCAGCUCGCUGGGACGGUAUUGACGCUAAGGCGCGAAAGCGUGGGGAGCAAACAGG
This 253-nucleotide ribosomal RNA is filed under the name uncultured bacterium. Its description in RNAcentral is "partial 16S ribosomal RNA". It matches the Rfam family "Bacterial small subunit ribosomal RNA", at positions 524 to 776 of the family's 1533-position model. The record is from RNAcentral.